UAAAGGAAUUGGCGGGGGAGCACUACAACGGGUGGAGCCUGCGGUUUAAUUGGAUUCAACGCCGGGAAGCUCACCGGGGGAGACAGCUCGAUGAAGGUCGGGCUGAAGACCCUACCAGAGUAGCUGAGAGGUGGUGCAUGGCCGCCGUCAGUUCGUACUGUGAAGCAUCCUGUUAAGUCAGGCAACGAGCGAGACCCGCGCCCCCAGUUGCCAGCNGGUCCCUUCGGGGACGCCGGGCACACUGGGGGGACUGCCGGCGCUAAGCCGGAGGAAGGUGCGGGCAACGGCAGGUCCGUAUGCCCCGAAUCCCCCGGGCUACACGCGGGCUACAAUGGCCGGGACAAUGGGUACCGACCCCGAAAGGGGUAGGUAAUCCCCUAAACCCGGCCUUACCUGGGAUCGAGGGCUGCAACUCGCCCUCGUGAACCUGGAAUCCGUAGUAAUCGCGCCUCAAAAUGGCGCGGUGAAUACGUCCCUGCUCCUUGCACACACCGCCA
RNAcentral lists this ribosomal RNA (497 nucleotides) under uncultured archaeon. Its description in RNAcentral is "bacterial SSU rRNA". It matches the Rfam family "Archaeal small subunit ribosomal RNA", at positions 857 to 1351 of the family's 1478-position model. The record is from RNAcentral.